UCCACAUGAAAUGAAUACCAAAGAAUGUUUUCUUAAAGGCAUCUUAAAGAAUGAAGCAAAGUUCCUUAAUUUAAAGUACUAUUACUGUAAAACCAACAUAGUAGGAAAUCUCAUUCAAUACCUAUAAAUCCAUCAAUCUCAUACAUAACGUAUUGGUUAAAUAAUGAAAAUUAUCAAAAUUACAACCGAUUUAAUAACAUAAACAACAACACUGCAUACAUAACAUUAACAAUUAUGACAAAUCGUUGAGUUAGUUGCAAUUGACGCAUUUCAAUCUUCACCAUCGCUAAUUCGUUGGAGUCGUUAGUAUUCGUUGGAUGAGUUGUUUCAUUUAAACGCUCGGAUGUGUCCAUCUGCAACCUCCCUUGAUUAUGCAACACUCGAACAUAUUCGUUACACCAACUGAGAAGUUACCACAUUGCUGCAUAUUUUGAGACACAAUAAAUUUAUUCACUUGUGUAAAAGGAACAAAUAUACAAAAAUUGCAAUACAAUUAAACACAAAAUAGUCGAGAAAUGAUUCUAUACAAUAUUACUUUAGACAAGAAAGGAUUAUUUUAUAGAUGUAGACGAGAGUGUUGGGCCUAAAGACUAGUAAUCCUCUACUAAAUAAAAACAAGGAAAAGAAAGUGCAGGAAUAAAACAAAGGUGUUAAUGUGCAACAUGCUGACUUUUGUUAUGAACAAAUAUGUUAUCCAAAGUUUCAUAAGCCCCAAGUGUUAGUCAAUGUUGGCCCCAAAAACUGACUAUACAUGUAUUCAAUAAAGGUGACAGUGUCAGAGUAUGACAUACAUUGCAAGACAAGUUCAGAAUUUAAUUGACCAUUUUGAUCAACAAUAUAUCAAUUGUUUUGCUUUAUUCAAGGUAGUCUCUCUUUUCGGCAUUUACAUCUCACUCAUUUUUCCAGCAUUUUGUACUACACGUUUACAUAGAUCAGCAGUGAACAUCAUCAAUAAAAGGGAGUAUUCUACAGAGCCAAUGUAUCUCAUCCCAAACAAUUGAAGUUCAAAGAGUUAGUGAGAGAGAGAAGCUCAUUCUAGUAUACUCUUUAGAGUUUUGUAUAUACCCAAUUGUGCUAAUUAUCCUGCAAGGAUUAUUUGGUGUAUUUGGGGUUUGGAUCGAGUGUUUGAGGUUCUACCCCUUAUGUAUUCAUAAUUUCUCAUAGUGAAUACUUUCUCAAGCAACUAAAUUUUCCUAUCACUACUAAACCCAUGUGAACCAUUUGACCAUCGGAUAGAGAUUGGCAUUAUCAAAUGAAAGUAUUACUUCAUCCAAAACAAUAAUGCUAACAACACAUUCAGUGAAGGCAUAUAUCAUUUUGCUAACACAAAUCAAAUAAGUAUAUAUUUGCUAACCAAAACCAAACAUGAAAAAACACCUAAUUCCUUUAAAAUUAGUCAUCAAAAUUCAAAAGUACUAAAAAUCAAAAAAUGACAACCACUCCGUCAUAAAUCACCCAUUUCCCUGCCAUUCACUCUCCAACCAUAAAUCAAACCAGAUAUCAGAAAUGCUCAAGUACAACUUCAUGUCUGUUCUCACUCAAAUUUUUGGUCAUUUCUCCAAAUCUAAUUGUUCUUGAAACCCAAAACAAACCUUAGAUUUCUUUCAAAUCAAACAGAAAUUACAAAAGUAAGUAGGAAUCCUUACCUUUCGAUUUGCAACACCACCUGUUCAAUUUGCUUCAGCUGAUAGAGAGAGAGGGACAGGGUCGCUGAUAGAGAGCGAGAGAGGGAAGAGCGAUGUGAAGUAAUGUACUGAUAUAUGGCAUGGGUUUAAUUUUUGACCCAUGUAUUUUUUUUUGACCCGCGUGUCCUUUCUUUGGUUCAGCUAAUAAGUUUAGUCCAUUUUUUAG
Molecule: long non-coding RNA, 1851 nt
Filed under: Panax ginseng (ginseng)
Lineage: Eukaryota; Viridiplantae; Streptophyta; Magnoliopsida; Apiales; Araliaceae
Description: long non-coding RNA (PGIN_LNC001226)
Source: RNAcentral